Molecule: unclassified non-coding RNA, 270 nt
Filed under: Cyphellophora laciniata
Lineage: Eukaryota; Fungi; Ascomycota; Eurotiomycetes; Chaetothyriales; Cyphellophoraceae
Description: partial internal transcribed spacer region
Rfam family: Eukaryotic small subunit ribosomal RNA (bases 1-46)
Source: RNAcentral
AAGUCGUAACAAGGUUUCCGUAGGUGAACCUGCGGAAGGAUCAUUACCGAGUUAGGGUACUCUUCGUGCCCGACCUCCAACCCUUUGUCUACCUGACCAGAUGUUGCUUCGGCAGGCCCGCCGCCUCUUACGGGGUGGCCGCCGGGGGUCCUUACCGGCCCCGGGUCCGUGCCUGUCGAUGGCCCUUCUUAAACUCUUGCUUAAAACGUGUCGUCUGAGUAAAACAAACAAAUAAAAACAAAACUUUCAACAACGGAUCUCUUGGUUCUG